This 1080-nucleotide ribosomal RNA is filed under the name Salmonella enterica subsp. enterica serovar Stanley. RNAcentral's name for it is "partial 23S ribosomal RNA". It matches the Rfam family "Bacterial large subunit ribosomal RNA", at positions 655 to 1733 of the family's 2925-position model. Lineage: Bacteria; Pseudomonadati; Pseudomonadota; Gammaproteobacteria; Enterobacterales; Enterobacteriaceae. The record is from RNAcentral.
GAAUAGGGGAGCCGGAGGGAAACCGAGUCUUAAUUGGGCGUUAAGUUGCAGGGUAUAGACCCGAAACCCGGUGAUCUAGCCAUGGGCAGGUUGAAGGUUGGGUAACACUAACUGGAGGACCGAACCGACUAAUGUUGAAAAAUUAGCGGAUGACCUGUGGCUGGGGGUGAAAGGCCAAUCAAACCGGGAGAUAGCUGGUUCUCCCCGAAAGCUAUUUAGGUAGCGCCUCGUGAAUUCAUCUCCGGGGGUAGAGCACUGUUUCGGCUAGGGGGCCAUCCCGGCUUACCAACCCGAUGCAAACUGCGAAUACCGGAGAAUGUUAUCACGGGAGACACACGGCGGGUGCUAACGUCCGUCGUGAAGAGGGAAACAACCCAGACCGCCAGCUAAGGUCCCAAAGUCAUGGUUAAGUGGGAAACGAUGUGGGAAGGCCCAGACAGCCAGGAUGUUGGCUUAGAAGCAGCCAUCAUUUAAAGAAAGCGUAAUAGCUCACUGGUCGAGUCGGCCUGCGCGGAAGAUGUAACGGGGCUAAACCAUGCACCGAAGCUGCGGCAGCGACACUGUGUGUUGUUGGGUAGGGGAGCGUUCUGUAAGCCUGUGAAGGUGUGUCGUGAGGCAUGCUGGAGGUAUCAGAAGUGCGAAUGCUGACAUAAGUAACGAUAAAGCGGGUGAAAAGCCCGCUCGCCGGAAGACCAAGGGUUCCUGUCCAACGUUAAUCGGGGCAGGGUGAGUCGACCCCUAAGGCGAGGCCGAAAGGCGUAGUCGAUGGGAAACGGGUUAAUAUUCCCGUACUUGGUGUUACUGCGAAGGGGGGACGGAGAAGGCUAUGUUGGCCGGGCGACGGUUGUCCCGGUUUAAGCGUGUAGGUGUGUGUUCCAGGUAAAUCCGGUUCACUUUAACACUGAGGCGUGACGACGAGGCACUACGGUGCUGAAGCAACAAAUGCCCUGCUUCCAGGAAAAGCCUCUAAGCAUCAGGUAACAUCAAAUCGUACCCCAAACCGACACAGGUGGUCAGGUAGAGAAUACCAAGGCGCUUGAGAGAACUCGGGUGAAGGAACUAGGCAAAAUGGUGCCGUAA